RNAcentral lists this ribosomal RNA (775 nucleotides) under uncultured Neocallimastigales. RNAcentral describes it as "partial large subunit ribosomal RNA". It matches the Rfam family "Eukaryotic large subunit ribosomal RNA", at positions 26 to 637 of the family's 3401-position model. Lineage: Eukaryota; Fungi; Neocallimastigomycota; Neocallimastigomycetes; Neocallimastigales. The record is from RNAcentral.
CGCAUCUGUGCAUGCAGCAUAUCAAUAAGCGGAGGAAAAGAAACUAACAAGGAUUCCCCUAGUAACGGCGAGUGAAGCGGGAAGAGCUCAAAUUUGAAAUCUUAAAGGGUUUCCCUUUACGAAUUGUAGUUUAAAGAAGUGUUUUCUGUUGAGGUUUUGGUAAAAGUUCUUUGGAAUAGGACAUCAUAGAGGGUGAGAAUCCCGUAUUUGACCUUUACUUUCAACUUUGUGAUACACAUUUCAAAGAGUCGGAUUGUUUGGGAAUGCAGUCCAAAAUGGGUGGUAAAUUUCAUCUAAAGCUAAAUAUUGGCGAGAGACCGAUAGCGAACAAGUACCGUGAGGGAAAGAUGAAAAGAACUUUGAAAAGAGAGUUAAACAGUACGUGAAAUUGUCAAAAGGGAAGCGUUUGACACCAGUGUUGUUUUUCUGAAAAUCAAUUAAAGAACUGUUUAUGCUAAGCUGUUUAGACUUUAUCAGCUAACUGUUUAGUUUUGAGCUUUUCUUUAAUGCACUUUUCAGUUAACAAGUCAACAUCAAUUUCUUUUGCUGUAAAAAAGCUUGAGGAAGGUGGCUUGAGAUUCGUCUUAAGUGUUUAUAGCCUCUUGCCUAUGCAGUCGGAGAGAUUGAGGUCUGCAGCGUAGAUCCUUCGGGGCUAAAUGCAUUUGUGCUAAGUCAUAGCAUUUUAUAGACAACUUGUUGACUAUGAUUUGUCUUGUAGCUUACUCGCUUAUGUUAUUUUACCUACGCUUAGGAUGUUGACAGCAGUAUAGACUGU